GUAGCAUAAUCAUUAGUUUUUUAAUUGAGAACUGGAAUGAAAGGUUGGACAAAGAAAUAACUGUCUUUAGGUAUAGAAAUUGAAAUUUACUUUUAAGUGAAAAGGCUUAAAUAUGUUAAAGGGACGAUAAGACCCUAUAAAGCUUUAUAUAUUGACUUUACUCAGUUGGUUAAAAUGAUAAAAAUUGGGUUAGGUUGUUAUAUUUUGUUGGGGCGAUAUGAAUAUAAUUUUUAUAACUGUUUAAAAUAAAUACAUUAAUGGAUGAGUUUAUAUAUAAAUGAUCCUUUAUAAAGAUUAAAAACUAAGUUACUUUAGGGAUAACAGCGUUAUUUUUUCUGAGAGUUCUUAUCGAAGAAAAAGUGUGCGACCUCGAUGUUGAAUUAAAAUGUCUAUAUAAUGCAGCCGUUAUAAAAGAGGGUCUGUUCGACCUUUAAAUUUUU
Molecule: ribosomal RNA, 440 nt
Filed under: Linnaeoxantho acanthomerus
Lineage: Eukaryota; Metazoa; Arthropoda; Malacostraca; Decapoda; Linnaeoxanthidae
Description: partial large subunit ribosomal RNA
Rfam family: Bacterial large subunit ribosomal RNA
Source: RNAcentral